Molecule: ribosomal RNA, 445 nt
Filed under: uncultured bacterium
Lineage: Bacteria
Description: partial 16S ribosomal RNA
Rfam family: Bacterial small subunit ribosomal RNA
Source: RNAcentral
GUGAGGAAUAUUGGUCAAUGGGCGAGAGCCUGAACCAGCCAAGUCGCGUGAAGGAUGAAGGUUUUAUGAAUUGUAAACUUCUUUUGCAGGGGAAUAAAGUACGGUACGUGUACCGUUUUGUAUGUACUCUGCGAAUAAGGAUCGGCUAACUCCGUGCCAGCAGCCGCGGUAAUACGGAGGAUCCAAGCGUUAUCCGGAUUUAUUGGGUUUAAAGGGUGCGCAGGCGGGUUGAUAAGUCAGCGGUGAAAGUUUGCAGCUUAACUGUAAAAUUGCCGUUGAAACUGUAGAGCUUGAGUGCAAAUGAGGUAAGCGGAAUGUGUUGUGUAGCGGUGAAAUGCUUAGAUAUAACACAGAACACCGAUUGCGAAGGCAGCUUACUGGGAUGCAACUGACGCUCAUGCACGAAAGCGUGGGGAUCAAACAGGAUUAGAAACCCUGGUAGUCC